AUUGAACGCUGGCGGCAGGCCUAACACAUGCAAGUCGAGCGGUAGAGAGAAGCUUGCUUCUCUUGAGAGCGGCGGACGGGUGAGUAAUGCCUAGGAAUCUGCCUGGUAGUGGGGGAUAACGUUCGGAAACGGACGCUAAUACCGCAUACGUCCUACGGGAGAAAGCAGGGGACCUUCGGGCCUUGCGCUAUCAGAUGAGCCUAGGUCGGAUUAGCUAGUUGGUGAGGUAAUGGCUCACCAAGGCGACGAUCCGUAACUGGUCUGAGAGGAUGAUCAGUCACACUGGAACUGAGACACGGUCCAGACUCCUACGGGAGGCAGCAGUGGGGAAUAUUGGACAAUGGGCGAAAGCCUGAUCCAGCCAUGCCGCGUGUGUGAAGAAGGUCUUCGGAUUGUAAAGCACUUUAAGUUGGGAGGAAGGGCAGUAAAUUAAUACUUUGCUGUUUUGACGUUACCGACAGAAUAAGCACCGGCUAACUCUGUGCCAGCAGCCGCGGUAAUACAGAAGGUGCAGGCGUUAAUCCGAAUUACGGGGCGUAAAGCGCGCCGAAGUGGGUUGGUUAAUUGGGAUGUAAAUCCCCCGGGGUCAACCGGGGACUGUCAUUUCAAACUGACUGAAUUAAGUAUGGUUAAAGGGGGGGGGAAUUUCCUGUGUAGCGGGAAAAUGCGUGAUAUGGAAGGGAACCCCCGUGGGGAAGGGACCCCCCUGGACUAAUACUGCCAUUGAGGUGGGAAAGCUGGGGAGCAAACGGGAUUAGAUACCCUGGUAGUCCCCGCUUGUAAAGAAUUUCAACUAGCCCGUGGAAGCCUUAGCUUUUAGUGGCGCAGCUAACGCAUUAAGUUGACCCGCCCUGGGGAGUACGCCCCCCAAGGUUAAACUUCAAAUGAAUUGACGGGGGCCCGCACAAGCGGUGGAGCAUGGGGUUUAAUUCGAAGCAACGCGAAGAACCUUACCAGGCCUUGACAUCCAAUGAACUUUCUAGAGAUAGAUUGGUGCCUUCGGGAACAUUGAGACAGGUGCUGCAUGGCUGUCGUCAGCUCGUGUCGUGAGAUGUUGGGUUAAGUCCCGUAACGAGCGCAACCCUUGUCCUUAGUUACCAGCACGUCAUGGUGGGCACUCUAAGGAGACUGCCGGUGACAAACCGGAGGAAGGUGGGGAUGACGUCAAGUCAUCAUGGCCCUUACGGCCUGGGCUACACACGUGCUACAAUGGUCGGUACAGAGGGUUGCCAAGCCGCGAGGUGGAGCUAAUCCCACAAAACCGAUCGUAGUCCGGAUCGCAGUCUGCAACUCGACUGCGUGAAGUCGGAAUCGCUAGUAAUCGCGAAUCAAAAUGUCGCGGUGAAUACGUUCCCGGGCCU
RNAcentral lists this ribosomal RNA (1361 nucleotides) under uncultured bacterium. Its description in RNAcentral is "bacterial SSU rRNA". It matches the Rfam family "Bacterial small subunit ribosomal RNA", at positions 28 to 1381 of the family's 1533-position model. The record is from RNAcentral.